Molecule: ribosomal RNA, 1266 nt
Filed under: metagenome
Description: bacterial SSU rRNA
Rfam family: Bacterial small subunit ribosomal RNA
Source: RNAcentral
UUAGCUAGUUGGUGAGGUAAAGGCUCACCAAGGCGACGAUCUGUAGCGGGUCUGAGAGGAUGAUCCGCCACACUGGAACUGAGACACGGUCCAGACUCCUACGGGAGGCAGCAGUGGGGAAUUUUGGACAAUGGGGGCAACCCUGAUCCAGCCAUGCCGCGUGAGUGAAGAAGGCCUUCGGGUUGUAAAGCUCUUUCGGCCGGGAAGAAAUCGUAUGGGUUAAUACCCUGUGCGGAUGACGGUACCGGCAUGAGAAGCACCGGCUAACUACGUGCCAGCAGCCGCGGUAAUACGUAGGGUGCGAGCGUUAAUCGGAAUUACUGGGCGUAAAGCGUGCGCAGGCGGUUUUGUAAGACAGGCGUGAAAUCCCCGGGCUCAACCUGGGAACUGCGCUUGUGACUGCAAGGCUAGAGUAUGGCAGAGGGGGGUGGAAUUCCACGUGUAGCAGUGAAAUGCGUAGAGAUGUGGAGGAACACCAAUGGCGAAGGCAGCCCCCUGGGCCAAUACUGACGCUCAUGCACGAAAGCGUGGGUAGCAAACAGGAUUAGAUACCCUGGUAGUCCACGCCCUAAACGAUGUCAACUAGGUGUUGGGUGGGUAAAACCAUUUAGUACCGGAGCUAACGCGUGAAGUUGACCGCCUGGGGAGUACGGCCGCAAGGUUAAAACUCAAAGGAAUUGACGGGGACCCGCACAAGCGGUGGAUGAUGUGGAUUAAUUCGAUGCAACGCGAAAAACCUUACCUACCCUUGACAUGUCCAGGAGCCUGAAGAGAUUUGGGUGUGCCCGAAAGGGAACUGGAACACAGGUGCUGCAUGGCUGUCGUCAGCUCGUGUCGUGAGAUGUUGGGUUAAGUCCCGCAACGAGCGCAACCCUUGUCGUUAAUUGCCAUCAUUUAGUUGGGCACUUUAACGAGACUGCCGGUGACAAACCGGGGGAAGGUGGGGAUGACGUCAAGUCCUCAUGGCCCUUAUGGGUAGGGCUUCACACGUCAUACAAUGGUCGGUACAAAGGGUUGCCAACCCGCGAGGGGGAGCCAAUCCCAGAAAGCCGAUCGUAGUCCGGAUUGCAGGCUGCAACUCGCCUGCAUGAAGUCGGAAUCGCUAGUAAUCGUGGAUCAGCAUGUCACGGUGAAUACGUUCCCGGGUCUUGUACACACCGCCCGUCACACCAUGGGAGCGGGUUCCGCCAGAAGUAGGUAGCCUAACCGCAAGGGGGGCGCUUACCACGGCGGGGUUCGUGACUGGGGUGAAGUCGUAACAAGGUA